GCACAAGCGGUGGAUGAUGUGGAUUAAUUCGAUGCAACGCGAAAACCUUACUACCCUUGACAUGUCUGGAACCUUGGUGAGAGCCGAGGGUGCCUUCGGGAGCCAGAACACAGGUGCUGCAUGGCUGUCGUCAGCUCGUGUCGUGAGAUGUUGGGUUAAGUCCCGCAACGAGCGCAACCCUUGUCACUAGUUGCCAUCAUUUGGUUGGGCACUCUAGUGAGACUGCCGGUGACAAACCGGAGGAAGGUGGGGAUGACGUCAAGUCCUCAUGGCCCUUAUGGGUAGGGCUUCACACGUCAUACAAUGGUCGGUACAGAGGGUUGCCAACCCGCGAGGGGGAGCUAAUCCCACAAAGCCGAUCGUAGUCCGGAUCGCAGUCUGCAACUCGACUGCGUGAAGUCGGGAUCGCUAGUAAUCGUGGAUCAGCAUGUCACGGUGAAUACGUUCCCGGGUCUU
RNAcentral lists this ribosomal RNA (456 nucleotides) under uncultured Thauera sp. RNAcentral describes it as "bacterial SSU rRNA". It matches the Rfam family "Bacterial small subunit ribosomal RNA", at positions 923 to 1382 of the family's 1533-position model. The record is from RNAcentral. Lineage: Bacteria; Pseudomonadati; Pseudomonadota; Betaproteobacteria; Rhodocyclales; Zoogloeaceae.